RNAcentral lists this ribosomal RNA (440 nucleotides) under Flavobacterium omnivorum. RNAcentral's name for it is "bacterial SSU rRNA". It matches the Rfam family "Bacterial small subunit ribosomal RNA", at positions 338 to 775 of the family's 1533-position model. The record is from RNAcentral. Lineage: Bacteria; Pseudomonadati; Bacteroidota; Flavobacteriia; Flavobacteriales; Flavobacteriaceae.
CCUACGGGAGGCAGCAGUGAGGAAUAUUGGACAAUGGGCGCAAGCCUGAUCCAGCCAUGCCGCGUGCAGGAUGACGGUCCUAUGGAUUGUAAACUGCUUUUAUACGAGAAGAAACACUCCGACGUGUCGGAGCUUGACGGUAUCGUAAGAAUAAGGAUCGGCUAACUCCGUGCCAGCAGCCGCGGUAAUACGGAGGAUCCAAGCGUUAUCCGGAAUCAUUGGGUUUAAAGGGUCCGUAGGCGGUCAGAUAAGUCAGUGGUGAAAGCCCAUCGCUCAACGGUGGAACGGCCAUUGAUACUGUCUGACUUGAAUUAUUAGGAAGUAACUAGAAUAUGUAGUGUAGCGGUGAAAUGCUUAGAGAUUACAUGGAAUACCAAUUGCGAAGGCAGGUUACUACUAAUUGAUUGACGCUGAUGGACGAAAGCGUGGGUAGCGAACAG